This 477-nucleotide long non-coding RNA is filed under the name Citrus sinensis (sweet orange). RNAcentral describes it as "long non-coding RNA (CSIN_LNC002039)". Lineage: Eukaryota; Viridiplantae; Streptophyta; Magnoliopsida; Sapindales; Rutaceae. The record is from RNAcentral.
AAUAAUGUAAAGUUGAUUUUGUUCAAUUCUGAUUUUCAUUUGAUUGUUAAUGAAAUUAUCUUUACAAGAUUAUAGUUAUAUAUAUAUAUAUAUAUAUAUUAAAUCAGAAAAUGCUGUAAAGCCCCAAGACCAUCAGGCAGCAAGGGAAGGUAUCCACAAAUCAAUAAUGUGCUCACAGUUGCAGAUAAGAAGAAAAUGGCAUUGAUGCCAACGGAGAGCAAUGCUGCUGCUGUUAAUGGCUUGAAGCCGAAGGUUGAAGAAGAUAACAAAAACAUUGAUGCUGAUGAUCAUAAUUCCACAGCACAGACGACUCAAACUAAUGAUUAAUUAUAUUUGCUUGUUUAAGAAUGGUGUCUGCGACCGUCCAAAAUCUCGGAUCGAUUUGUUGUUGUAGUCCGUGAGAUAUGUUUAUUUGUCUAUUGUCUAUACAUACAUAUACAUAUGUAUAGCACUAAGUGAUAUGAUGUUCAUUUUAUU